UAGGGAAUCUUCCACAACGGACGCAAGUCUGAUGGAGCAACGCCGCGUGAGUGAAGAAGGUUUUCGGAUCGUAAAGCUCUGUUGUUGGUGAAGAAGGAUAGAGGCAGUAACUGGUCUUUAUUUGACGGUAAUCAACCAGAAAGUCACGGCUAACUACGUGCCAGCAGCCGCGGUAAUACGUAGGUGGCAAGCGUUGUCCGGAUUUAUUGGGCGUAAAGCGAGCGCAGGCGGAUUGAUAAGUCUGAUGUGAAAGCCCACGGCUCAACCGUGGAACUGCAUCGGAAACUGUCAUUCUUGAGUGCAGAAGAGGAGAGUGGAAUUCCAUGUGUAGCGGUGGAAUGCGUAGAUAUAUGGAAGAACACCAGUGGCGAAGGCGGCUCUCUGGUCUGCAACUGACGCUGAGGCUCGAAAGCAUGGGUAGCGAACAGG
This 429-nucleotide ribosomal RNA is filed under the name bacterium. RNAcentral's name for it is "partial 16S ribosomal RNA". It matches the Rfam family "Bacterial small subunit ribosomal RNA", at positions 355 to 776 of the family's 1533-position model. The record is from RNAcentral.